UACAUAGAAGAAAGGAUCAACAAAGCAAAACUCCACCAAUGUGUCUUCAAAGAGGAUUAUUCAUGAAUACCUUGCAUCUGCUUCAACUUCUGAUUAAUUCAUUCAUAAACAUUCUCAAAGCACCGUUUUGAUUAAGCAGCACACACACAAAACUGUGAAUAAUUGCUACUGCACUUCAAAAUAGCCAGUGUUGAAAUUCCAAGUAUAGUGAGUUAAGAAAGAAGCAGUGUUGGGAUGCAGAAGUGGAGGGUUGAUAAGGCAUUGAAAAGUGAUGAAGAGUAAAAAUUCCCUUUUUAGUUCAACACGGAAAAGUCAUACAGCUACACAACAUACCCAAUGGCUAACAACUGGACCAAUAUCCACGCAUUUAUCAGUUUCUACGAAUCACAGCUUUUACGAACGUGAAGGGAUGCUAUACCCAACCAUAUAUAUACCUCUUCCUUUUACGAUCCUAGAUCUCUAAUAAGUUUGGUAAAUUAUCACAAUUUUUUAUCAAAUUAAAA
Molecule: long non-coding RNA, 503 nt
Filed under: Phaseolus vulgaris (common bean)
Lineage: Eukaryota; Viridiplantae; Streptophyta; Magnoliopsida; Fabales; Fabaceae
Description: long non-coding RNA (PVUL_LNC002756)
Source: RNAcentral